Molecule: long non-coding RNA, 490 nt
Organism: Octopus sinensis (East Asian common octopus)
Lineage: Eukaryota; Metazoa; Mollusca; Cephalopoda; Octopoda; Octopodidae
Exons: 2
Source: RefSeq, a predicted model, not a curated record
UUCAUUAAACUCUUAAAAAAUAAAAAAUAAAAAGAAAUUCUAUCAUUUCUUGCUUUCCACAUUUUAGUAGAAGUCCUAUUUAGCCAAUGAAUGGAAUCGUUAUAGGAAUGCGAUGUGUCCGACGAAGAAACUGACUAAUCACGGCCGCCGUAUUACAUUGCUUAAGACUAAGAUGUCACUCGCACAUGUGAUGAUUCGGAGAAAGCUGCUCGAUCUACAUCAGAAUGAAUUUUAUUGCAUUCGAUAAUGAUUUCUGAUUUAGGAACAAGAUUAAUGAAUGACACUGGUGUAAAAGACUUUAUCGUUACAACCUCAUUAUUUAUCAUGUAAAGACGAUGCUAUACACAACAGAUAUGACCCUGCCUCUAUAAGUUUAUGGUAGAAGCACUGAAAUAUUUGCUCUGAACUGAGAUUGAUAACAACAUUUCUCUACCUCAUCUCAUUGUCAAGUGCAUUCUAAUAAAACUUGAAUAAAUUUAUAAAAGAGUUU